GACGAACGCUGGCGGCGUGCCUAAUACAUGCAAGUAGAACGCUGAAGGAGGAGCUUGCUUCUCUGGAUGAGUUGCGAACGGGUGAGUAACGCGUAGGUAACCUGCCUGGUAGCGGGGGAUAACUAUUGGGAACGAUAGCUAAUACCGCAUAAUAGCAGUUGUUGCAUGACAACUGUUUGAAAGGUGCAAUUGCACCACUACCAGAUGGACCUGCGUUGUAUUAGCUAGUUGGUGGGGUAACGGCUCACCAAGGCGACGAUACAUAGCCGACCUGAGAGGGUGAUCGGCAACACUGGGACUGGGACACGGCCCAGAAUCCUACGAGAGGCAGCAGUAGGGAAUCUUCGGCAAUGGAAGGAAGUCUGACCGAGCAACGCCGCGUGAGUGAAGAAGGUUUUCGGAUCGUAAAGCUCUGUUGUAAGAGAAGAACGAGUGUGAGAGUGGAAAGUUCACACUGUGACGGUAUCUUACCAGAAAGGGACGGCUAACUACGUG
Molecule: ribosomal RNA, 495 nt
Filed under: uncultured bacterium
Lineage: Bacteria
Description: partial 16S ribosomal RNA
Rfam family: Bacterial small subunit ribosomal RNA
Source: RNAcentral